AAUAGAUACCCAGGUAGUCCACGCCGUAAACGAUGAGUGCUAAGUGUUAGAGGGUUUCCGCCCUUUAGUGCUGCAGCUAACGCAUUAAGCACUCCGCCUGGGGAGUACGGUCGCAAGACUGAAACUCAAAGGAAUUGACGGGGGCCCGCACAAGCGGUGGAGCAUGUGGUUUAAUUCGAAGCAACGCGAAGAACCUUACCAGGUCUUGACAUCCUCUGACAACUCUAGAGAUAGAGCGUUCCCCUUCGGGGGACAGAGUGACAGGUGGUGCAUGGUUGUCGUCAGCUCGUGUCGUGAGAUGUUGGGUUAAUCCCGCAACGAGCGCAACCCUUGAUCUUAGUUGCCAGCAUUUAGUUGGGCACUCUAAGGUGACUGCCGGUGACAAACCGGAGGAAGGUGGGGAUGACGUCAAAUCAUCAUGCCCCUUAUGACCUGGGCUACACACGUGCUACAAUGGAUGGUACAAAGGGCUGCAAGACCGCGAGGUCAAGCCAAUCCCAUAAAACCAUUCUCAGUUCGGAUUGUAGG
This 528-nucleotide ribosomal RNA is filed under the name uncultured bacterium. RNAcentral's name for it is "bacterial SSU rRNA". It matches the Rfam family "Bacterial small subunit ribosomal RNA", at positions 777 to 1304 of the family's 1533-position model. The record is from RNAcentral.